RNAcentral lists this microRNA precursor (71 nucleotides) under Chlorocebus sabaeus (green monkey). RNAcentral's name for it is "miRNA (ENSCSAG00000026428.1)". Lineage: Eukaryota; Metazoa; Chordata; Mammalia; Primates; Cercopithecidae. The record is from RNAcentral.
ACCUGGGAUCUUGUGAAAAUGCAAAUUCUGAGUCAUGAGUGGAACCGAAUUCUGCAUUUUUAACAAGCUCU